This 500-nucleotide ribosomal RNA is filed under the name uncultured bacterium. Its description in RNAcentral is "partial 16S ribosomal RNA". It matches the Rfam family "Bacterial small subunit ribosomal RNA", at positions 28 to 507 of the family's 1533-position model. The record is from RNAcentral.
GACGAACGCUGGCGGCGUGCUUAACACAUGCCAGUCGAACGGGCCUGUCUUCUUUUUUGGGGGGUGGGUUGAGUGGCGAACGGGUGAGUAUCACGUGAGUAACCUGCCCUUCGGUCCUGGAUAACCGCUUGAAAGGGCGGCUAAUACGGGGUGGUCCGGUUGGUCCGCAUGGGCUGGUCGGGAUAGAUUCACUGUUUUUGGUGUUUCGGCGGGGGAUGGGCUCGCGGCCUAUCCGCUUGGUGGUGGGGUGAUGGCCUACCAAGGCGGGGGCGGGUAGCCGGCCUGGGAGGGUGGGCGGCCACACUGGGACUGAGAUACGGCCCAGACUCCUGCGGGAGGCAGCAGUGGGGGGUAUUGCACAAUGGGCGGAAGCCUGAUGCAGCGACGUCGCGUGAGGGAUGGAGGCCUUCGGGUUGUGAACCUCUGUUUCCGGUGGUGAAGGCCCUGUCCGUGUGGUGGGGUUGACGGUAGCCGGGGAUGAAGCGCCGGCUAACUACGUG